GACGAACGCUGGCGGCGUGCUUAACACAUGCAAGUCGUACGGUAAGGCCCUUUAGGGGGUACACGAGUGGCGAACGGGUGAGUAACACGUGAGUAACCUGCCCACAACUUUGGGAUAACGCUAGGAAACUGGUGCUAAUACUGGAUAUGUGCCCCUGCUGCAUGGUGGGGGUUGGAAAGCUCCGGCGGUUGUGGAUGGACUCGCGGCCUAUCAGCUUGUUGGUGGGGUAGUGGCCUACCAAGGCGGCGACGGGUAGCCGGCCUGAGAGGGUGACCGGCCACAUUGGGACUGAGAUACGGCCCAGACUCCUACGGGAGGCAGCAGUGGGGAAGAUUGCACAAUGGGCGCAAGCCUGAUGCAGCAACGCCGCGGGCGGGAGGACGGCCUUCGGGUUGUAAACCGCUUUCAGCAGGGACGAAGCUUUUUGUGACGGUACCUGCAGAAGAAGCACCGGCUAACUACGUG
This 465-nucleotide ribosomal RNA is filed under the name uncultured bacterium. Its description in RNAcentral is "partial 16S ribosomal RNA". It matches the Rfam family "Bacterial small subunit ribosomal RNA", at positions 28 to 507 of the family's 1533-position model. The record is from RNAcentral.